Molecule: ribosomal RNA, 253 nt
Filed under: uncultured bacterium
Lineage: Bacteria
Description: partial 16S ribosomal RNA
Rfam family: Bacterial small subunit ribosomal RNA
Source: RNAcentral
UACGGAGGGGGCAAGCGUUAUUCGGAAUCAUUGGGCGUAAAGGGCGCGUAGGCGGCUUGGCAAGUCAAAGGUGAAAUCCCUCGGCCUAACCGAGGAACUGCCUUUGAUACUGCUUGGCUUGAGGCCGGGAGAGGAUAGUGGAAUUCCCAGUGUAGUGGUGAAAUACGUAGAGAUUGGGAAGAACACCAGUGGCGAAGGCGGCUAUCUGGACGGUUUCUGACACUAAGACUCGAAAGCGUGGGGAGCAAACAGG